AUACUUACCCGGCAGGGGAGACGCCAUGAUCACGAAGGCGGUUUUCCCAGGGCGAGGCUCACCUACGGCGCUCCGGACAUGCCGACCCCUGAGAUUUCUGCAAAUGUGGGAAACUUGAUGCAGAAUUUGUGGCAGUGGGGGACUGGGUUCGUGCUCUUCCCCA
Molecule: small nuclear RNA, 163 nt
Organism: Artibeus jamaicensis (Jamaican fruit-eating bat)
Lineage: Eukaryota; Metazoa; Chordata; Mammalia; Chiroptera; Phyllostomidae
Product: U1 spliceosomal RNA
Exons: 1
Source: RefSeq, a predicted model, not a curated record